This 338-nucleotide long non-coding RNA is filed under the name Elaeis guineensis (African oil palm). RNAcentral's name for it is "long non-coding RNA (EGUI_LNC059178)". The record is from RNAcentral. Lineage: Eukaryota; Viridiplantae; Streptophyta; Magnoliopsida; Arecales; Arecaceae.
CCAAUGCGGAAACUCGCUUGAAGAUGAUUUGUUGGGGAAGUUCAAUUUUAUGACGGAUCUGGUGGAGGAUCGGCCGGUGAUGGACCUCGGAUGGCGUUGGGGAGGUUCAGCAGACAUCGGAGGUGAUCGAUCAUUGUAGGAAUCCAGCUGAUGGAGCCCGAUCGUCGUAGAAGCUCAUCCAAUAUCCAACCGUUAUGGAGGUUCGAUCGAAGUCUGGUUCUUGUAGAAGGCUGAAAGGAGACCGCUUAUUGUAGAAGCUCGAUCGAAGGUCAGUUAUCAUGGGAGCUCGGAGUAGCAACCUAGCCGAUGAGUCCUGUCCAAUUGUAGAAGCUCGGUCA